GAGUGAACGCUGGCGGUAGGCCUAACACAUGCAAGUCGAACGGCAGCACAGUAAGAGCUUGCUCUUACGGGUGGCGAGUGGCGGACGGGUGAGGAAUACAUCGGAAUCUACUUUUUCGUGGGGGAUAACGUAGGGAAACUUACGCUAAUACCGCAUACGGCCUACGGGUGAAAGCAGGGGAUCUUCGGACCUUGCGCGAUUGAAUGAGCCGAUGUCGGAUUAGCUAGUUGGCGGGGUAAAGGCCCACCAAGGCGACGAUCCGUAGCUGGUCUGAGAGGAUGAUCAGCCACACUGGAACUGAGACACGGUCCAGACUCCUACGGGAGGCAGCAGUGGGGAAUAUUGGACAAUGGGCGCAAGCCUGAUCCAGCCAUACCGCGUGGGUGAAGAAGGCCUUCGGGUUGUAAAGCCCUUUUGUUGGGAAAGAAAAGCAGCAGGUUAAUACCCCGCUGUUCUGACGGUACCCAAAGAAUAAGCACCGGCUAACUUCGUG
Molecule: ribosomal RNA, 493 nt
Filed under: uncultured bacterium
Lineage: Bacteria
Description: partial 16S ribosomal RNA
Rfam family: Bacterial small subunit ribosomal RNA
Source: RNAcentral